This 23631-nucleotide long non-coding RNA is filed under the name Olea europaea (common olive). RNAcentral describes it as "long non-coding RNA (OEUR_LNC008431)". The record is from RNAcentral. Lineage: Eukaryota; Viridiplantae; Streptophyta; Magnoliopsida; Lamiales; Oleaceae.
AUGGACUCAACUUUGCAACAAGAAAUGUAACAUUGGCUAACCUUCCUCCACCAUCAAGCAACACAAGUGCACUUCUUACCUCCCUUGCAACCAAGAAUUUGGAUCCCACCGACGUAGUUGCGCUCUCUGGUGGCCACACCAUUGGCCUUGGCCAUUGCACUUCCUUCACUGAUAGACUUUAUCCCACACAAGACCCUACAAUGGCCCAGACCUUUGCCAACAACCUUAGAGUCAUUUGUCCCGUUGCUAACUCUACUAACACAACUGUACUCGAUAUUCGAUCCCCUAACGUGUUCGAUAACAGGUACUACGUUGAUCUCAUGAACCGACAAGGCCUCUUCACGUCGGAUCAAGAUUUGUACACAGAUACAAGGACUCGGAGCAUUGUUACGAGCUUUGCUAUUAAUCAAACGUUGUUCUUUGAGAGGUUUGUGAUAUCCAUGAUAAAGAUGUCGCAGCUGAAUGUAACGACAGGGACGCAAGGUGAGAUUCGUGCUAAUUGCUCGGUUCGGAAUUCUGAUAAUCUAUCACUGUCUUCUAUUGUGAAAGAGGAAAAGGGGAGCUGGUCUGCAUUUUGAGGGUUGUUCUUGUUUACUUGUUGAAGUGCUCCUUUUAAGUGAAAACAUUUCAAGUACUUUGUGUUUUGUUGUCAUAGAAGAAUGCUUUUGGCAGAGAUGGAGACUGAAACAUAUAGUUUUAACUGUGUAAUAUAGUUAUGUUACUACCUACUAUAAUAUAGUAAAUAAAAGUUGAGCACUCUUUCUAUCAAAAUCUGCUUCGUCAGUUUGUCCUCCUUUAUCGUUUGACGAUACCUGCAAUAAAGGGUGUGAGGUAUUUUCCCGUACCCCUCCUAUGCUUAAGUACGGCCCAACAAUACAUCCGUCCAAGAGCAACAAUGCCAUUCUUAAAUAAAUGAUGGUCGAAUGUCAUAAAAUAUUGGACCUUCCUCUUUGGAAACCAAUUGAUUUUCGGAUGAUAUGCUAAAAGCCCGAAUAUGCAACAUCGAAUGAACUACUCAGUGCUACAUUUUGCAACCAAAAAAUGCAUACUAAUUUAGUACAUCUUGCAUUCUUUUCACGUAUUCUACUGAUCAAUGACCAAUGACCAAUGACCAAUUUGACAUGUUUUUAUCCAAGUCUCCUCUAAUCCAAAAUUUUUUUAAACUUCCUUCCCGUAAAAUGUCUCUAGUUAAUGUCUCAUUAGUUAGUCGAUCACAUUACUUUUCAAAGGAGAAAAAGCUUUACCGUGCCACACCAAACAAUAAAAUAGAUUAAAGAUUAAAAGAAAUUAUUAUUUGAGUAAUACUAUUUAACCUUACGGGUGCUUAGCACUAGUUUAUGUGAUGGUGUAGUAACUUUCUAUAGUCCAACAUAGUUAUUCUAUGUGGUUCUAGUGAUUAUACAAUAGACAAUGUGCAAGUGGGAGAGUAAGAUUAAGAGGUACUAAAGAGGAAUUGGAGAAAGGGUACACUAUAAGUCAUAUUACAAAACUAUUAAAGUAGUUUGAUGACUCCUAGAUACAUUAAAAGAACAUAUGAUAUAUUUAAUUAGUGAUAUACAUCUGAUUUGGGAAUAGGUACAUUAUAAGAAAAGAGCGAGGGUAUUAUAUUGAGAGGAUAUACUAAAUCAUAAGGAUAUUGCUACUUGUAUAUCUCGGUAGAUAGAAAGGAUUACAAAUGAAGUUUUCGGGAACAUUUUAGCUUUUGUUUUUUCUAAUUUCUAAUUCCCACAAAAUCCAGGUCAGUAAAUCGUGAUGUUCAAGUAGCAAAGUUCGAUUCAUUAUAUGCAUGUGAUAGAGAUAAUAGAAAAUAUACUUCUACAUAUAUCUAUUCUCUUAAUAAUUUUUGUAAUACUUGAAAAUCUCAACUAUAGAAAAUUGUUGCCUUGUCUUCAAUUGAGAUAUAGUAUAUUGAUGUUACUUGUGCAAUCAAAAAGGGUGUUUGGUUAAAGGGAUAGUUGCAUUAAUUUGGUUUUAUAGAUAAAGAAGUUCUUCUGUAUUCUGAAUGUCAACUUGCUAUAUAUUUAAUUAGUAGAAAUCAUGUUUUACAUAAUAGAUCUAAACAUGUUGAUAUUAGAUUUCAUUAUUAGAGAUGUUAUUUCACAAAUGAUUGUUAAAUUCGAAAAGAUUUCUCCUCAUUUAAUCCUGCAGAUAUUGAAGGAAGUAUUGUCUUUGAGUAAUAUAAAUUUUUGGAUUGCUCGAGUUAGUUCAAUAUUAAUUCUUGUUGAUCAUGAGCAAAUGAUGUUGACCAAGGCAGAAUCUAUUGCACUGUGAAUUGGAUCUAUUGUACCAAGGUUGAGAUUGUUGAGAUACGUUACAAUUGAUUAAUUGAUUUUGUGAACUAAACUUGCAUUUUCAAUUGAAGUUGUAGAUAUUGGAAACACACUUUUUCUAAAUAAAUGGAUGUGUUGUAAUGCUACCAUUUGUCACCUUCUCUACCGUUGGAUUUGGAGACGUUAUGGUGUUUCUAUUGUACUCAUCCUUUGGCUGAUUAAUUAGGGAAGUGAAAUCGAUUGGUUGCAUUAUGUUCUCUAGGAAAACUAAAUCUCUCUCUCUCUCUCAUAGUUUCAAAUAUUCUUCAUCUUCAUCUUUUGAAUUUUCUUCUUUUUGAGUAAUGAGUAUCAAUUUAAGGAAAGUUGGACAAAAUUAGUGAUUCCAGUUGCACGUUCUCGAUUUAAAUCGAGUGGACUUCGAUAUUUGAAAUGUAUUUUCACUAAGAAAUGUAUACUCUUAAACAAUAUUAUUCCUCAAGGGCCAUGGAUAAACGAAUGCUUUUCUCUCUUUAAUAGGUGCUAUAAACAUCAUAGUAUGGUGCUAAAUUAUAAGUCUAAAAAAUGUUAACCCGAUAACUUCUUCAUUGUUGUGCCAAUUCUAUCAAAUUUUCGAUUCUUCAUUUUGAGCUCCCAAUUGGGCUGGACUCUUCGACGAUGAGCUUGAUGAAAAUAACUGGGCCAAUCAUUAAUAUGGGCUAAGCUUGGGCCAGGCCAGGCUGACAGAUGUGGUCCUCUUUCUAUACCACUAUUUAGCCCCUGUUUUAAAAUUCAUUUUUUUUUCAAACUCUUUUUCAACCACAUUUUUUAUGAUCCACAACUUUUAUCAAAUUUUCAUCACGCAUUUCACCAAUUUCUAUCAAAAUCUACUAAAAAUUUGAUUUUUAUCCAUUAUUGGUUCUAGUAAAUGCAUCAAAUGCCCAUGUUGGUGUUUGAGUAUCAAUUAUUCUACAUUGUGAAUACACACCUAGUUUAAAUCAAUCUCCAUCAUUUUAUAAAAAAGACGACUAUUUUUUGUUUUUUUGAAUUUUCACCUUUAAAUGAAACUCAAACAUAUAUAAGACACUCAUGUAAUAAGACUUCGCUCUUAUCCCUUUAAUUAGGCUAUCAAUGUCAAUAAAGAAAGAAAACAAUGGACUACAAAAAUGGAAAUGAAAUAAUAAAGAGAGAAAAAAAAUCCAACCUCUUACCCCCACCACCCCAUUUCUUCUGUCGCCACUCACUCGCCCACAUACCCACCCUUGCCUUGUCCCACCCCAACUCUCUAAUUAUCUGACCAAUCAUAUGCUUUUCCCUUAUAUACACCACUUAUUUCUAUAAUUAUAAUUUACAUCGUUUAUAAACAACUUCAAAGGUGUGAAUGUUUGCUAAAGCUUAUGCUCUAACAUAAUUAUUAUAGCUACCAAAGUGAUAAAAUACUAGAAAUAACUAUUAACAUGAGGAUAAUUGAAUCUUUCUUUUUUAUAAGUUCUAUUGAGAUCGUAUCACAAUUAUGAUUUUUUCCUUAGUUGCACAAAUGGUUAAACUCAAUAAUUUUUCAUUUUUUUCCUUUGAACCUUAACAAAUCCAACUUGUUAUAUAAGAGGAAUUUUAUUUUUUAAAACCUAUAUAGUUUAGAUUUUUACGAAUAUAAAAAUUAAAAAUUAUAGAACUAAAUAAAUUUACUUCAUAAAUUACACAUGAACCAAAUUAAUUAUUUUAUAAUAAUAUUCAUUUUAAGAAGAGAAAAGUGAAAAAGCAUAAUAUGCGCGAACAUGUAUGGAUUCAUUUAUUCUAGUUGGAUUUUGCGGAAGGGGUGGAGAAUUUUGUUCAUUGGAGAAUUAGUUGAAGUUCUUGUUGAACAGUUCAUUUUUUGCCUUGAUGUGGAAUCUGUCUCCAAAUGGAAAGUUUUGAAAUUUGUUCAUUGCAUCGAAAUUUGAUUCAAAGUGAAAAUUUGUUAAAGUUUGACUUGAAUUCUAUUGGGUAUUUGUGGAUUUGAAGAGGUCGAAAUAUGGACCAAAAAGGAAAAGUCAGUGCAUUCCCGCUUGUUGUCCAUCAGGCUCCCGAUCAAGAGCUCAAAACAGGAGCGUUAGCUCUUGCUUGGCACUAGGCUAUUGCUCGAGUGGCAGGUCACCUCUCAUUUUAUCGUGAGCUCGGUGCUAUUCCAGCCUGUGAUCCGUUUCGCGUUUUGACCUUUUUUUUUCUUCCCCAUCUUCAGGGCUCUUAUUGGGAUUUGACAUGUACCCCUAUAUAUAAUUGGCUCUUCUUCAUAGUUAGAAUAAGUUAGACAAUAUAGAAAACCCAAUAUCUUUGUAUUAUUUCUUCAUAUUAUAGUGAAUUCUUAUUUCCUUUGCCGAUUUCUUGUCUUCUUCUUGUGUUGAUUGCUACUUCAUGUUUUGUCAUAUACUUCAUUAUUCUCUAAUAAGUGGUGUUAGCUCGCAUAACUAUUUGGUUAAAUUUGUUAAGAAAAAAUGUGAGUUGGAUUGAAAUAAUAAAUAAGCAAAUUUGUUUAUUAAGUGAAAAAAAAAAUUAGCCUAUAAAUAAAAAAGUGCAUGUAAGUAAAAAUUAUUUAUGACCGGAAAUUUUAUUUAAAAGUAAAAAAUUCACUUAUACAUAAAACAAUUACAAAAAUGUAAAAAUAACUAUUCAAAAGUUAAAAAAAAAAAAAAAAAACACUUGGAAGCAAAAAUAUUGCUCAUAAUUAAAAAUUUCCUUACGAGUUUAAAAGUAAAAACUCAUUUAUAGGUAAAAUAUUUAACUGAAAAGUAACUUAUAAGGCAAAAAAAUUUCGGAAAAAGUAAUAUAUUUAUUCAAUCGAGCAUGAAACAUGCCCUUAGUAUUACAAAUUUAGUAGUUGGUUUAUUCAAUGAUGGAUCACCUAUAUCCACCACCUACCCAACCACCCACCUGACUAGUUAUCAUAUAUAGAAUUCUAUAGAAUCAAUUUUGAUACGCUAUACAAAUUAAAAACAAUGCAUCCAUGACCUACUACUGGAAGUAUUGAGGUAUUCAUUUGCUACGAAAUUUUUUAUGUAUAAAGCAUUAUCUCAUUGCGUUCCUAGCUCGGCAAUAACAAUCACUCAUUAUUACUCAUAUCAGUCUCUCAAAGUGAAAAAAGAUUGGAAUAAAAAUAUGAUAAUGGAGUAAAGGAAUAGAGAGCUUUGCAUGAAAGCAGACCUUAUACCUAUCGUUGAUAAUCCCUAGUUCAAGUGCCAUUGAACUAUAAAAAACGACUAUCAUUUAAUAGUUUGAUGUCAAUCCGCGAUGGCAUGUGGCAUCAUUCAACUAUUAGUAUGUAUAUUUAUCAAGCUACAUUAUUUUAUUUAUUUUAAAAAUUCUCAAUUAUGUGUAUUUAACCGGGCCUAGAAGAGCAUUUUUUUACAUCGGACUUUUUGUUACUAGGGUUUAAUUAGAGGGUAGUCAUGUUUUGAUUUUCAUUGAAUAAAAAGAAAUUUAUUACAAAUUUAUCGAUCAUUUCUAGAUUUGUUUGAUAUUCACUUUCUUGAUGCUUGCUUCACACAAUUGAUUUUAUACGAUCUUGCAUUUUGAAUAGUUAUUAUUCAUUUUCUUGACGCUUGUAACUAACUUUGUAUGAUCUUGAUUUUUAACUUGUAUAAUCAUAGUUGACUGAGAAAAAAAUCGAUAAAGAAAUAUUGUUAGUAAUAACAAGCACUUUUUCUCGAAUCUUUUGUCCAAGAUUUUACCUUGGAAAAAUGAAAAAAGACCAAGACUACAUGGACAGAGAAAAUGCACAUAUGGAUUUUACAAAAUGCCACAUGGUAGCAUUUCAUUUGAUUUUGGACAAAAAAAUAUAUUUAAAACAGUCAAUCAAGUGCUGUCAUCUCAACACAUGUACAACUGUCUGUGAAUUUUCUUGUACAAGCAUCAUUGCUUAAAGAAAAAGGGAUUUCUAGUGAACAAGUACAAGACAUUUUCAUAUGCAUUGAUUAAUGGCGAGGGGAAUGGAGUGUGUUGACAUGUGUGACGCUCCGUGGACGGAGUUAAGGUCCCUCUUUUUUUCUUUUUUUUUUCUAAGCUAUUUUAGUACUAGAGACGUUCAACGUGGCUAAUAUAAAUGAAGAAAUUAAUUGCGUUUACUUUUAAAAUGAAAGAAACUUAAAUUGAAAUGUAUUUAAAUUUAAUUGUCGUGUCUUAUUGUCUUAAAUGACUUCUGAUUUAAAAUUUGUCUGUUUUUAAUGGUUGUACAUUUUCAUGUUGUUAACUUCUCAUGUUUUUGGAAAAAUUAGAACGGUCACAUUAUAGGGCCAUUUAAUUUUCCAUUUGAUCAUUUUUGUGGAGUAUACUCGUCAACAUUUUGCAUCUAUUUCCUUUCUAAAAUGUAUUUUCUGGUACCAAGAAAGUUCGAAUUAUAAAGUUUUUCAUUUGAUAAUCAAUUUAGUAGAAUAUACUCCUCAAAAUUAACAUAGAUUUCUUACCUAAAAUUUAUUUUCUUGUACCAAGAAAGUUUGAUUUUCAAAUUUGAAAGUUAUGUUUGAUGGUUCCUUUGUGAUGAUUCAAGUCCUUAGGAACGAAAUCGAUUCUAUCUCGAGAGACAAUUGUUCAAAACCUUCAGCACUAAGGUAGCAAAAUUUUCUGCAUGAACUCAAUCAUCUCAAAUUACAUUUUGUAAAAUUAUAUCUAGUUUGUGUUGUAAAUCCAACUUGCUAUAUAUAUUUGUUUGCAUAACUAAAUAUUACAAUAUAAAUUUAGCAUACCAUGAAGUAAAAAGUAAAAACCCUCAGUUGUACUCGUUCCACAUCGUGGUACCAACGUACAAUAAUUUGUCGAACCAUUCCAAAAUUAUUUAUAACUCUUUAACACCAAAAGAAGAAAAGACGUAAAUCAACGUGAUAUAACACUGAUUUUUGCAUCUUUUUCAUUGCAUAUGUUAUGCCUCAUAUCCGAAGCUCUCAGCGGCAACCACGUCAAAGCCAUGUGGGGACACUACACAAAAACAUCCAGCAGUCAACAAGGUCAAAAGUAAAGAAAGGAAAUAAGUUGCUCUCUAGCUGAAGCACUGUCUUCAUCCAAAGUCCUUUUGCCAAAGUACUUCCUCUUUUGGCCGAACUUCUACACAUUCGAAGCUCUUUUUCUUAAAGUUGAAGCGCUUGCUGCCUUUAAAGCGAGUCUGAAGAGUAUUUUUAGAAAUGAUUGAUGUAACGUUUGUAUUAAUGAAUAUCAGAAGUGUUAACAUAAGAUGGGCGGUUGAUCCCUUGUCAAUGUAAUUAUGGUAUAGCAAAGAGUGAUGUGAGGCUCCGGAUGCUACGAUGAUGCCACAUGCUUCUUAUCCAACGGUGACCAUGUCGGCCUCAACUCUAUAAAUAGCAGCUCUUGUUACAUGUAAAAGGAUUGGCAAAAAUAUAUACAAACUUCAUAUACUUGAUACCACUCUUGCAUUUCUCUCUUGUUUAUUUUGUAUUAAUCUGCUCAAGUUUGGAUUUAUCCUACAUUGGCGGAAGUGUACAAGAUUGGUUGUUUGUAUAUAAUCACCUUUAAUCAUAGUUGGCGCCCAAACAUUUUUUGUCUCGCGUUGUAGAGCAUCUCCCAGGUUCACUAUGGCUGUGCAACCCCGAUCGUAUCCCUGAUCAAAACGUGUCGAAAUUUACUUGCGUGGAGGUGAGUGGACUUGACAUCUGUUGUCCAUGUGACCAUUACAAAAAAUAUGGUCAACAGAUUGGUGUUGUCUGUAGAAAACCGACACAUUCGACUAUGAAAAUCAUGUGGAAGAAAGCCAGUUACUUGUGUUUAGGAAGAUUUCUUACCUUUGAAGAAAAUGAAGUGAUUUUGAACAAAGAAUCACCAAGUGCUCCCACAUUGAAAUCACCUUUUUGAAAACCCCGUGAAUUCCUUGAACAAAGAGAAGCAAAGCGCCGAGUCUAGAAAUUAAGAGACAUAACCAUGACUUCCACAGAUGAAGCGUUAGCGUCUCAGAGGACUAGGGAACACCCUGAAGAAGUGGAAUCCUCACAAGCUGCUCCAGCAACUUGCUGCCAAUUCCAUUAGCCCGAUAGAAGAUGUGAGUCGAGAGGUGGAUCUAGGAUAGCUGCUAGACUUAUCAGGGAAGUGGCCUCCAUGGCCACCAAUAUGAGAAACAUUACCCAACAAAACUUUUCCAUGCAAAAGUUGUUAAAGAACAUGCAAGGCUAGUGAUGAUUCCUAGUUCGUCCCUAUGCAAUUCAACAAAAUGCAUUUCAUGACCCCUUGUAAGGAAAUUACUACCACGGUGAAGAGGAUGUCCAAAGCCAAAUGGUUGGAUAUCAACAAUACACUAGGAAAGGAGCACUUUAGGACAUGGAAGUUGAGGUGGAUACCUCCACCAACUAUGCCACUGACCAACCCACCGAGGUCCUAUUCAACUUUCUUCCAAACUAUGAUCCGAAAUACAUGCUUCGAAGGUCAGUAAGUGUCUUUGAUAGAUUGAGCCUAGGAUAACCUAAAAAUAAGCAGGCUCACACUUCCUCUGCACCUAGAAAUGGGCAGUAGAGACCACUUCAAUUUGAAAGACAAAGCAAACCACUCGAUGAUGACAUGCCUCCAAAUUGUUCACGUAGAAAUAGGUAAGAGAGAAGAGCAGAAUAGGCAAGAAAUCGAGUGGGACCAUCUCAACCGCCUCAAGAAGCACAGGACAGAGAAGAUGAAGAUUCUGGCGAGCCACAAAGAUCCUUCGAUCUUGAUGAUGAUGAUGACAAUCUCUUUUUUUUUCAUAAGGGAUUAAGAAUGCUCCCGUCCUAAAUCACUUCACGCUCCCCAAAAUCCUUAAGUACGAUGGAAGAGGUGAUCCUGCAAAGCAUCUCAACAAAUUUAAAAUGCAUAUGAGUCACCCUCGCCAUGAAGUACAAAGCCUUCCACUUGACCUUGAGUAGAAUGGCUGAAGUAUGGUAUAUGAGUUCCUAGAGGGAAGUAUCUGAAACUAGCCAGAUUUUAGGAAAGCUUUCCUUAAGCACUUUGCUACCAGUAAAGAGGGUAAAAGACAAAUACAGAGCUUCCAAGACAUGAGGCAGCAACAGAGGAAGUCAUUGAAAAGUUUCGUGUCUCAUUUUAUUGAUGCGAUGAUCUACUGCGCGCAAGUCACAGAUAGGGAGACACUGAUGGCCCUAAGAGGAGGAUUAGAUAUGAACUCACUCUUUUGAAAAAAUGUGCAAAAUAAGGACCCUACCAGUUAUGAUGCCUUACUAGAAAUGAUAAAGAGUGAGAUUAUCAAUGAAGUAUUGAAAGAUCAUUGGAAUAGGGCAAAUUGCAGACUCCUACCUCCACAAAUGUAGAGAGAAAGAGGUUCCACCUCCCACUUGAUGGACCAUCAGGCAGAACGUAAAACCUCCAUCAAUUCGGGACAAGCAUUGGUCGCAACAACAUUUAACGUGGUGCCAACUUUGGCUUAUGGGGAAGUGAAUCCUACUGUGGAAAUAUACCAAGGUAGACCCUACCAAUGAUUCCUUCACACGGGGAGAGCUAGAGGACAAGGUAUUGAACCUAGAAAUAGGGACAAAGUACUCCUCUACUAUACAUAUCACCAUUCAUAUAGCCACCGCACUAUUAGUUGUAGGAACAUUGCAAAGCACCCUAACAAUCACAGAAGAAAUAGUUGCCCUCAAAGAGAUAGGCUUCCUACGUAAGGUCGACAACCUAGGAACAAUGAGAUGAGGCGCCCCAAUCAAGAUGAUGCUUCGCGAAAGCUAGACAAUGAUGGAGAAAGACAUAUAGAAGGUUAGAGAUGAACAAGGAGCCCCUCAGCCAACACUGGUUGAUAGGUCAUUCGAGAAAUUGGCAUCAUUUUUGGACGCCCCUAUGUUUGGGUAGAAUCUAGAAAUGCUCAAAGAAACUACGCAAGGGAAGCUAAAGAUCCCCAAUGGUGAGCUUCAUAGUCAAUAGCAGUUGGCCCUCUACUAAAAGAAGGUCCAACCAACCACAUUCACCUAAGAUGAUGUUGCUGGAGUACAUUACCCGCAUUGUGACGCCUUGGUGGUAAGAGCUAUUGUGGCCCAAAAUGGUCUCAAAAGAAUAUUAGUGGACAACGGAAGCUUGGUCAACAUCAUAUUUGGAGCCGCGUUUGAUAAAAUAGAAGCCGAUCAUAAGUUAACUCAUAUGAACUCCUUGUUCAGAUUCAUUGGCUAUAGCAUUGUCCCAAGAGAAAAAAUCACUUAGCAAUAGAGAGGGGAGGCUCCAUUCAGGGCUCACCAUUUUAUGAAAUUUUUGGUGGUAGACAAUCGCUCCACUUACCAUGGAGUACUUGCAAGGCUUGCCUUGGAAGAACCGUGGGCCGUCACAUCUAUCCACCGCCUAUGUAUAAUUUUCCAACAGAGAAUGAAAUUGCCAUAGUCAGGAGAAAUGCUAUACCAACUUUCUAAGAAAGGCUAAACCAAGGGCUAUUAACAUCAUUUUAAUGGACAUUGACGCAGAUGACAACCCUAAGCAAGGGAGAAACCCUGAACAAAGGGAUGACGUCGAAAUGAUAGAUGCCUUUGAAGAAGGGACAGUUUUCGAAGUACAAGGUGCCCCUGAAGAAGGGAGAGCCACUGAAUAAGUGGAUAACCUUGAUGAACUGGACCCCACAUAAUUGAUUACGAACCACAGACAGCUCUUGUUGAAGAAUUGGAGAGUUUUUACAGUGGAUGCCUAUGAUUCCUCCAAGUCUUUGCAGGUCGAAAAAAACUGUUUGCAAUAGCCAAAGGAAAAUUGAAACAUUUCUUAUGAGAUAAUUUGGAUGUCUUCACAUGGAAACAUGAGGACAUGAUUUGCGUUGAUCAGAAGGUCAAAUGCUUCUCUUCACAGGCAGAAAAGAAGAGCUUUUAACCCAGAAAGAUAUGAAAUCUUGAAAGAUGAGGUAAAGAAGCUGAUCGAAAAACUCUUCAUUCGAGAAUCAACGUAUCUGAAGUGGGUAUUAAACCCUGUCCUAGUAAAGAAGUAUAAUGGAAAAUGGAGGGUAUGUGUGGAUUUUUCCAAUCUAAACUAAGUUUGCUCUAAGGACAGCUUCCCACUUCCACGGAUAGGUCAACUCGUUGAUUCUACUUUGGGUACGAACAAUUGAGCUUCAAUUAGAUACCAAUUUUCUAGCAGAUGAUGAGCACACGUCCUUCAUAACAGACAGAGGGCUCUAUUACUAAAAAGUCACGCCCUUUGUGUUGAAGAAUGCAAGAGCUAUAUGUCAAAGACUAGUCAAUAAGAUGUUUGCAGACCUCAUUGAAAAAACAAGGGAAGUGUAGUGGAUGACAUGCUGGAAAAAAGUUUGAAAAUAAAUGACAACAUCAAGCACCUCGGCCAGGCCUUCCGAAUACUUUGAAGGUAUAGAAUGAGGCUGAAUCUUCUCAAAUGUGUUUUUGGAGUUGCCUUUGAAAAAUUUCUGCUCUACAUGGUCAAUCAAAGAGGUAUUGAGGCUAACCCUGAGAAGAUUAAAGCCUUGAUUGAAAUGAGAUCACCACAUAAGCCUAAGGAGGUACAGGGCCUAACUGGGCACAUAGCAGCCUUGAGUUGCUUCUUCUCAAAGACAAUGGACAAAUGUUUUCAUUUCUUUAACGUUUUGAAAAGAGGAAGCAAGUUCCAGUAGAUAGAGGAAUAUGAGUGGCCUUACAUGCCCUGAAGAAGCACUUGGGAUGGCUCUUAUCCUCUCAAAGCUCAAAAUUGAAGAGCCUCUACAACUAUACCUAGAAAUGACUACCAAGUCUAUUAGUCCGGUGCUUGUAUGGAUGAAGAGGGUCACCAACUACUUGUCUAUCAUGUGAAUAAAGAGCUACUUGUCGCAAAAACCCUCUAUCCUGACAUGGAAAAACUGGCUCUCUCUCUCAUAAUGGCUUUUCAAAAAUUAAGGUCGUACUUUCAAGUACAUACCAUACAAGUGCUAACCAACUACCUUCUCAAACAAGUGCUGCAGAAGCCCGAUGCUUCAGAAGGAUUACUUAAGUAGGUCUUAGAGCUCAGUGAAUUCGAUGUUAGCCGUUACUCUAUCCAAUUUAGGUAAGGUAGAAAAGUUUAAUUUUAAAGAAAUCACUCAAAUCCAUUUUACAAACAAUAAUCUUAAAUCAAUUUUUUUGUUUGAGUGAUAUGUGUCUGAUUUCGUUUAAAUUUAAUUUCUUCUACACCUUCUUGAAUUUUGAUUUUUGUUAGUUUAUCUUAUGUUUUGCGUAAACGGAAUUGAAUAUGGUUAAAAAUAUUGAUACUGCUUCGAAUGAUACUUCAAAUAUGGGAACUUUGGAAGUUUUUGUUCCUAACUUGGUUCCUAUAAUUGUAAUUCCUUAGGUUGCGAUUGGUAUUCCUACUGUUCAUACAUACUUUGUUCUAUAUGGAAAGAAAUCAGAGAAGUUUAGUGGGGUUGGUUUCAAGAAAUGGUGACAAAAUUGUUGUCCUAUCUCAAAACUCUAAUUUUGGAAAAAUUCUUGAAUGAAGAUGCUCCCGCCAUUAAAAAAGGGAAAUAAUAGGGCAUCGUUGAUAACAUUGGAUGUUUCGAAACAUUCAAAUUUCUUGUGCAAAAAUUACAUAUUGUAUGAGUUGGACAAUACAUUGUAUAAUGUGUAUAGUUCCAUGAAGUCUGCAAAGGAACUAUAUAAAUCUUUGGAGAUGAAAUACAAGACUAAAGAAGCUGGAACUAAGAAGUUCAUUGUGAAAAAGUUCUUGGACUACAAAAUGGUAGAUUUAAAGACGGUCAUCAAUCAAGUACAAGAAUUACAGGUUCUUCUCCAUGAUAUUCAUGUCGAGAAGAUGUCUCUUAGUGAAUCAUUUCAAGUGGUUGCAAUCAUUGAGAAGCUUCCUCUCAUGUGGAAGGAUUUCAAGAAUUAUCUCUAGUAUAAGGGCAAAGAGAUGAAUUUUGAAGAACUCAUUGUUUGGUUGAGAGUUGAAGAAGAUAAUCAAAAGUUGAACAAAUGUGUUGAAAGUCAUAUACCACAAGCAAAGACUUAAUGUGGUGAAAUCAAAUGACAAGAACAAAAAGAUGAAGCAUUCUAUCGAGCCUUUCAAGCAAGGAAGUACAAGCAAAGAAGUUCAAGGGUAGUCGCUAUAAUUAUGGAAAGGUCGGACAUCGCUUUAUAGAUUGUUGUAAACCUUAGAAGCAAGCCCAAGCAAAUAUCAUCAAUUCUAAUGCCAUAUCUGAUGGUAUAUUAGAUAUAAACUUAUCGACUAUUAUUUCAGAAUGCAACAAUGUUAGAAAUUCUAUGGAAUAGUGGAUGGAUACGGGUACAACCCGUCAUAUUUAUGCUGAUAAAGGAUGUUCUCAUCCCUACAUUCCAAUUGAUGGUGAGAAACUGUCCAUGGAAAGCUUUUGAGUUCAAAGGUUGAAGGAUAAGGCAAAGUGAUAUUGAAGAUGACAUCGGGCAAAGAACUUAACCUUAACAAUAUUCUUCAUGUGCCGAAUAUUUGCAAGAACUUAGUGUCGGGUUCUUUGUUAAGUAAGAAUAGCUUUAAAUUAGUCUUUGUAUCCAAUAGGUUUAUGCUUACCAAGAACAAUAUAUAUGUAAGCAAAGAAUAUGUAAAAGAUGGACUAUUUAAGAUGAAUGUCCAAACUAUUGUACCAAAAAACUCAAGGAAUAAAAUAUAUUUUACUGCUUAUAUUCUUGAAUCUUCUAAUUUAUGUAGAGGCUAAGUUAGCCAAAGUGUCAUUUUAUUCGAUUGAACGAAACACUACACCUUUCGAACUUAUUCACAUCGAUAUAUAUGAUUUAAGGUUUGUCCAAACAAAAAGGUGGUAAAAAGUAUUUCAUCACAUAGAUGAUUGUACAAGAUAUUGUUAUAUAUACUUAUUAAAAAGUAAAAAUGAAGCUUUGGAAGUGAUUAAGAACUAUAAAAAUGAAGUUGAAAAUUAACUUGGAAAAUGAAUAAAGGUAGUUUAUAGUGAUCAAGGUAAAGAAUAUGUUGCACUGUUUGAAGAAUUUUGUUCAGAAUAUGGAAUCAUACAUCAAACAAUGAAGUCAUACUCACCUCAAUCUAAGAGUGUUGCUAAAUGCAAAAACUGAAUACUUAAAGAAAUGAUGAAUGCAAUGCAGAUAAAUUCGGAUUUACCACAAAACUUUUGGGGGAAACUAUACUUUCCUUAAUAAAAUACUAUACAACAGUAAGGUUGAAAUAUCUUAUAAGUUAUGGAAAAGGACAAAAACCUUCCAAUAAACAUUUUAAAGUAUCGGGGGUAGUUUACCAAAGGUACAAGAACCUAUACCUAAAUAAGUAAAGAUUGGACCAAAGAAAAUAGAUUGUGUCUUUAUCGAAUAUUCAAACAAUAGUAGUGCAUAUCGAUUUUUGGUUCAUAAAUUAGAAAUACUUGAUGUACUUGUAGGUAUUAUCAUUGAAUCAAGGAAUGUAGCUUUCUUUGAAGAUAUCUUUCCAUAUAAAGAGAAAGAAAUUAGCUCACAUAAACUAACUUAUGAUACUACAAAUCAAGAAGACGGGAAUCGUGAAGUAAAUGAAGAACUAUGGCGCAGUAAAAGGCAAAGGAUUCAUAAGACACUUGGUCUAGAUUGUCUAACGUACUUAUUAGAAAAUGAUCCAAGGACAUUUAAUGAAGCAAUGUUCACUCUUGAAGAUAUUUUUUGGGAAAGAAGCAGUUAAUAAUGAAAUUGAACCCAUCAUGGAUAACAAUACUUGGGAAUUGGUUGAAUUCCCUCUGGGAAACAAAGCUUUAGGCUGCAAUGGAUCUUCAAAAAGAAAUUGAAAUUGGAUGGAUCAAUGACAAGUAUAAGACUAAAUUAGAAGCCAAAGGGUAUAGACAAAAGAAAUGACUAGAUUUCUUCGAUACCUAUCCACCUGUUACAAAGAUCACAUCUAUAAGUAUGUUGAUUACAAUCGCAACAUUGCACAUUUUUGAAACAUAUCUAAUGGAUGUUAAGAUCGCAUUUCUAAAUGGUGAAUUAGAAGAAAAAAUAUAUAUGGAACAACUUAUGGGUUUUGUUGUUCUGGAAAAGGAGAAAAGUGUGUGUAAGCUUGUAAUUGUUGUAUGAAUUAAAACAAGCACUUAAGCAAUGACAUGAAAAAUUUGACAAAACUAUGUUGUCAAAUGAUUCAAAAUUAAUACAUGCAAUAAAUGUGUUUAUAUAAAAAAAAAUAUCUAAUGAAUACAUAAUCGUAUGUCUAUAUGUUGAUGAUAUGCUAAUAAUGGAAAAUAACUCGAAUGUUAUUACUGCAACUAAGAAAAUGUUGAUAAAACAUUUUGACAUAAAAGAUAUGGAAGUUUCUGAAAUCAUAUUAGAGAUUAAAAUCUCUAAUACACUUGACGGUUUUUCAUUAUCUUAAUCACACUAUGUGAAGGCUAUAUUUAAGAAGUUUAAGACGUACAAUGAUAAACCGGUUAAGACACUAGUAAACUUAAGUUUAAAAUUAACCAAAAAUAUUGGUGAUCACAUAUCUCAAUUGGAAUAUUCAAGCAUUAUAGGUAGCUUUAUGUACAUUACCAACUACACGCGUCCGGAUAUAGUAUAUGCAGUCAACGAGUUGAGUAGAUUUACAAGCAAUCCAAGUAAUGACCAUUGGAAGACAAUAAAUCGAGUUCUUAAAUACUUAAGACACACAGUUGAUUAUGGAUUAUACUACUUGAAAUAUCCUGAAAUGUUAGAAGGAUAUAUCGAUACAAAUUGGAUAUUCAACCUAAAAGAUUUAAAGUACACAAGUGGUUAUGUGUUUACGAUUGAUGACGAGUGUGUUUUACUCAUGAGUUUAUGCAAAUUUUAACUUGAUUUUAAGCUAUAAUUCACAAGUAUAUAACGUUUUUAAUGAGUAUAUUAAUUUUGUUUUAUAGGUUUGUCAAGAUGGCGAAGGAUACAAAGAAAGAUCAUUAAAUUGAAGUUAUUGGUAUGUACGGAAGAGAAGUUGUAACACAGGGGCGAAAUAGACAAAGCAAAGAUGAGACGAACCGCACCAGAAUGCAAAAAAUCAAGAAGAACCAGAGUGUGGGCGCUGGAAAAAAGUGGUGCUGUGGUGCCACACCCUUGGCGCUGCAGUGCCACCUAUCAAUUAACGCGACGUUGUGGCGCCAUAUUCUAGGUGUCACGGCGUCUCAAGCACAGGAUCGCUAGGGCUCAAAGUUUCAGCCUGUUUUGGAGCCCAUGCGAGAAACCUAUUAUUCCCACAUGGUAAGGGACCUAUAAAUACGUUUUUUCUGAGACUUUGAAGGGUUCCAAACAUUCUAGAGGCAGAAACACUUUUUGAGAGAAAGGGAAAGAGAUUCAAAGAGAGAAGAUAACGCCAAAUUCAUCGUGUGAAGCAUAAAUUGGAAGGAGGAAUUCUUGGUACAAGAUCCACAUUUUCUUCUACAUAUUCUUAUUAAAAUUCGGUGAUGUACUCUAAGAUAAUUUGUUGUUGCUCUUCUUUUAUUAUGCAUAGCUAAAUCUAUUGUUAGGACAAAUAAUGUAACCCAUUUGAGAUUUUUUAUAUUUUCUUAUUAAGAUUCUUGGUUUUUAAUUUUUCCAUAUGUUGAUUCUUGCUAUAAAUUGAUUGCAUUAAAUUAUCUGAUCAGUAAUUUGAUGAAUUUUGUGAAUCAUUUACAAAUAGAGAUAUGAGUUUAGGAUUUAGACCAUGUAGUAAAAUCCAGUACAUUGGUAUAACAUGUAAAUAUACUUAUGCCAGUUAUUGUGGCCAUAAUUGAAUUUCUAGGACAAAGUACUUGUUUAACUAAGUUAAAUUUGCAUAGAGAUGUGAAAUUUAAUUAGUUGAAUAGGCUCAAUGAGAACUCGAGAGGGGUAAAUUGAAUGGGAUAGGAGAAUUCGAUCGAGCACUACAAUAGAAUUGAGUCUUAAUUUAAGAUGUAAAGGUGAUUAAUAAAUGAAAUUAUUCUGCCCUAACGUCCUCUAAUUAUUUGAUCUUACAAGUUUUUGGUGUAAGCAUUUAUUUAUUGUCUAGAAUUAAGAUUUAAACUCAAAUUAUUAUAACUUUUAAAUUGUUUUCAUCAAAUAGUGGUUAAAUGAAAAUUAAAUUAAGUGCUAGAAAAUAGUCCUUGUGGGAUCGACGAUCCGGACUCUUAGGUCCACUAUUACUUGUUACGAUUUGUACACUUGCGAAGCUAAAAUAUACAACAAUUGAUGACGGAGCUGUGUUGUGGAAUUAUCUAAGCAAACUUGUAUAGAUCAAUCCACGAUGGAAUGAGAAUUUAUUGCCUUAGAUAAAUCGGAGAAAAAGUGGAACGGCUUUGUAAUUUUCUCGAGGAUAUUCCAUGUUUGUGAAAGCUGGUUUCUGCAAUUAAUAUAUAUCGUGAUAAUCAAUCGGCAAUACCAAGGGCACAAAAUAAUACGUAUAAUGGUAAAUCUCAACAUAUCUAUUGGAGACAUAAUAUCAUUAAACAAUUGAUAUUGAAUUAUAUAAUCUCAAUUAGCUAUGUUAAAUAAAAAGAAAAUAUAGCGGAUCAUUUGACAAAAAGACUACAAGAGAUCAAGUAUACCAUCUUUCGAGGGGAAUGGGCAUGAAGCCCAUUGAAUAGAAUCACCAUAGUGAUAACCCAAUUUUGUAGGUUGAAGAUCCCCAGAUCUUAGUUCAAUGGGAAAACUAAGUUAUGAAAUAUUCGAGGUAAAACACUUUUUCUCAUUCUUAUAGACUUAAAGUGCUAGAAUAAAAAGUGUAUAAAGAUACACGUAUACUUUUAAUGAUUUUAUCUCGGAAGUAGCCAAGAGAUGUAUGAUGCGAUACUAUAGGAGAUCACCUUUGUAAGUGUGAAGUGAGAUAGCUUCUACAAGAAUUUGAGGCUUAAUUUAUCUUAAAGCACUUAUGAAAUCAAAAGUUGUUCAAGAUCAAAAUGAACAAAACCAUGAGAACCGAAGUAGUUAGAUGAGUUAUGAUGUUAAUACAGUUGUUUUGAUAUCCAUGAGUGACUGAACGGUUCAAAAUAUCCAUUCACCAAUUAGCCUAGUAAAUUCGAUUGUAUUCGAUUAAAGAAGGUUCAAAGCCGCCAGCCACCUAUCCUAAUGCUAUACCUUGUCCUGUGUACUCAUUUGUUGUUAGAGUCUGCAUAUUAUUUACAUAUUGUGAAAUUUUAAUUUAUGUGGGGAAUUGUUGGAAAUUGGUUUAAAAGAGAAGUAAAAUGGUUUAGUACGAAACCAUAGAGUGAGAAAAGUCAUUGAGUCAACUUCGGCUAACUAUUCGAAUUUGAUCUGAUAGUCAAAUUAUGAAAAAAAAAUAGAUUAACUUUUCUACUUGUUGAGUUGAUUGUCUUGGUAUAUUUGAAAUCUCAAAAAUAAUUUCGGAUGAAUGAGAAAUUACGAUUCAAAUUGAAAAGAAAAAAAGAAAAACUGGCCGAACAUUUGCCUAACUCUAAUGCUUGACUAAUGCUUGACCAGUGAGUGAGCAGCAAUGACAUCGCUUGAGUGAAAGUCGAGCCCCAGGCGAACGAAAAAGUCCAUGCAUAAAAAACUCUAAUGGCAUUCGAGUAGCGCGCCAGCAGUAUGUGAGCGAUGGACUGGUUUGCAGCCCUUUGUAAAGGCUGGUGAGUUUUAAGGUGUGUCUUUUCACUCAAAACAUCUCUUCUUCUAUCAAUAAAACUUUUGGGGAUGUCCUUUACAAUAUCCCAACCAUAUGCAAUCGUAGCAUAACAUAAAAACCAUAUUUCCUUAGCUUAAAUUCUGCAUAAAAAAAUUUGUUUCAAUUUCAUCCGAAAUAAGUACAAAAGCCAUCUUUUUAGUUCGUUGUUUCUUGUGUGUUGGAGUGCUACAAUUAUAAGAAGGUAAUUGUUAUAUCUUGGAAGUUGAUUGCCAUUAUCCUUGGGCAUCGUUGCGGGGUUUGUUUCAAUUUCAUCUGAAAGAAGUACAAAAGCCAUCUUUUUAGUUCGUUGUUUCUUGUGUGUUGGAGUGCUACAAUUAUAAGAAGGUAAUUGUUAUAUCUUGGAAGUUGAUUGCCAUUAUCCUUGGGCAUCGUUGCGGGGUUUGUUUCAAUUUCAUCUGAAAGAAGUACAAAAGCCAUCUUUUUAGUUCGUUGUUUCUUGUGUGUUGGAGUGCUACAAUUAUAAGAAGGUAAUUGUUAUAUCUUGGAAGUUGAUUGCCAUUAUCCUUGGGCAUCGUUGCGGGGUUUGUUUCAAUUUCAUCUGAAAGAAGUACAAAAGCCAUCUUUUUAGUUCGUUGUUUCUUGUGUGUUGGAGUGCUACAAUUAUAAGAAGGUAAUUGUUAUAUCUUGGAAGUUGAUUGCCAUUAUCCUUGGGCAUCGUUGCGGGGUUUGUUUCAAUUUCAUCUGAAAGAAGUACAAAAGCCAUCUUUUUAGUUCGUUGUUUCUUGUGUGUUGGAGUGCUACAAUUAUAAGAAGGUAAUUGUUAUAUCUUGGAAGUUGAUUGCCAUUAUCCUUGGGCAUCGUUGCGGGGUUUGUUUCAAUUUCAUCUGAAAGAAGUACAAAAGCCAUCUUUUUAGUUCGUUGUUUCUUGUGUGUUGGAGUGCUACAAUUAUAAGAAGGUAAUUGUUAUAUCUUGGAAGUUGAUUGCCAUUAUCCUUAGGCAUCGUUGCGGGGCAAAGUCGAUUUAAGGACAAAGAAUUUAACUCGCACCUCGACUUUGCAUCCAUUUUCUUAGUAUUACUUUGUCCAAUUUCGUUGGCAUUUUAACUUCCAUUUCUUUGGUGUUUAUUACUCAAUUCCUUGCCGUUACUACGUCUAAUUUAGGUAAGGUUGGAAAGUUCACUUUUAAAGAAGUCACUCAAAUUCAUUAUACAAACAAACUUUUGCAUAUCCAUAGUGUCUAGGAUAUUGUUAAUGCAUACAAUUAACAAUAAAAAACUUCAAUAUAAAAGAAAAACUUACAGUUGAGUCUAUUUUUGAAAUAAAUACUUACACAUACUCUUUUAUUAAGAAACCAAUGGUCCUUCAACACUAUGAAAGGAUCUCGAGACCAACUAAAGUAUGAAAUGUAGGCAUCUUCGAGAGAUUAAUUGGUUUCGAUUGAAAGAAACUUUUUUCAAAAUUAGUACAAUAGUAUAAUGUGAAUUCAAUGACAAAUCCUUGUUGAAAUCUCAACCUUCCUUCACCAUUAAGAAUAAAAAUUUUAAAAAUGAUAAAUUAAGUGUGCGUGGUUGGAACAUGGCUUGUUUAAUUAUAAACUAGUUUUUGGUUCAGAAAAGUGGCACCAUCAAGAAUCACAUUUUAGUAUUUUACUUCAAAAUUCAAGAAUAUAAGAUUAUUAUAUUUGAUUAUUCAACUCGUUUCUAAAUUUGAAAGGAGAUGUGCAUUAAUGAAGAAAAAGGGUUUUAAUGUGUAUGAAACUAUUAAACUUUAUAUCAAUUAAUAAUAUACUAUCUCCAUCCCAUAAAAAUAAAUUUAUUCUAUUUUCACGGGAAAAAUUAAUAAAUAUAUGUUAGAACUAUAAAUUUUAUUUACAUUUUUCUACUAUAUAUACCCCUACAUGGAAUAAUGAUAAUUCAUAUUUGUUGAUAAGAAGAUACAUUAAAUAUAAGUAUAUUAGAAAAGAAAAACAUACAUAUCUUUGUGGGACGAAGGAAAUUUGAAAACCUUUAUUCUUAUUCCCUCGCAUGAUCAUUUAUUAGUCAUCACUGACUUGAUUUCAUGUAGAGAAUUCUAAAUUCUAAAAAGGUUACUUUAAUUAAAGUAUCCAUUCUAAAAAUAAAAAAGUAGAUUAUUCAAUUCACUAGGUAUUUAGCCAUUAAUUAUUGAUGAAGAUAAGAUUUAAAUAAAUCUACGAAUUAAUCUCCAACAAUUUAAUCUUAUAGUUAUGAUGGGUAACACAGUAUUCCAACCAAACAUAAUAUCUAUGUUCAAGUAAUGCGGUCAUCUAUUUAUAAAAUUUUCAAAUUUUUGAUAAAAAUUUAAAAUUGUUUUGCUCAUUAAGAUUUAAAGGAAUAUAUUUGAUCAUUGUUUAACUGAUAAAAUUUUUAGACGAGGCAGCUGUGGGUCGUUGAAGCCAAAACUUAGGAUAGUGUAAGUGCAAUAAGUUUAGGUUAUUUUCAUUCAAUUCUCAACCUAUUUCAAUAACCCUGGGUAAGUAGGAAAAAAAAAAAGAAAGGAAAAAAGAGAAAGGGUUUACUGAAGUGGUGGCAGACACGCUUUCAGUAUAUAUAUUUCAGAAAAAUAGUGACUUUAAUAUGGCUAUAAGAAGGCCUGUUCCAUUGAACCAGAAGAAGAUAUACGUAUACCCCAUUUCAGUUAAUCAUGGAUUCAAUAUCUUCUGGUUUUUCUAUCUCUUUGGUUAUUUUUCUGGUGUUUUCUUCUACUGUUUUACAUUUGACAGAAGCAAAGCAAUUAGUGCAGGGACUCUCAUGGAGUUUCUAUGAUUCUUCAUGUCCUACGUUGGAAUCCAUUGUGAGGAAACAGCUGCAAAAGGUUUUUAAGGAUGAUAUUGGUCAAGCGGCUGGCUUGCUUCGACUCCAUUUCCAUGAUUGGUCAAGCGGAGAGGAUUUCUCUCUCUCUCUCUCUCUCUCUCUCUCUCUCUCUCUCUCUCUCUCUCUCUCUCUCUCUUUUCUUAACACACUUUAGCUUAUAGGAUACAACUAUAUAUAAAUAUAUUCUUCAUCUUAAAAUAAGUAAGAUUUUAGAAGAGAUAAUAACUAAAUAUGUUGUUAAAAGUUUAUAAAGAUUUCGAUUCAAGUUUUGUCGAUCAAUAUUUUUGAAAAUGAACUCAUCAUGUAUAUGAUAUAAUGCGCUAAAGCUAAGAAUAAAUAAAUUAUUCAAUGAUUCUUUUCUCAUUAAAAUGAAAAAUAUAACCGUUAUCUAUCACAUCAAGCUAUCAAAUUUGAAUUUUUAUAUCUUGUGUAGGACUCAUAACCACUAUACUUUUCAUUCUCGUGAAAAUCGGGCCCAAACAAGCUCAUAGUUUUGUGAUAAGGUAUUUAUGAUCCUGUAGUGGACCCCGUUGGGCUCAAAUAAAGCACACUUUUAUUUAACUGGCCACAUAUUCUACACUAGUGUAAUUGAUAAUAACAUAUUUCGAUUCUUGGAGACCAAAUCAAAUCGUAAUUUUCAUAGGUCACGUAUAAAAUUUUUUUAUAGCAUAUUAGGAGUCUAAUUGUAGAACAAAUAAUAUUUAAGAUCUGUUCGAUAGUGAUUAUGAAAAUUGAUUUUUUGAACGUUAGAGGGAAAAGUAGAUCUCACAUGUGAGUGAAGAAGUAAAAAAUGACGGUUGAAAUUGUGAAAUUAUGGUAAAAAAAAAAUUUGAUUUUUUUGGAUGAAAUUGCUACCAAAUAGGGGCUUAAGCGAUCAAUUUAAAUAAUAAUAAUAAACGUAAAAUUUGGCAUAAAAUUCAGUGACCCAAGAGAAGAAAUUCUUAAUAUAUGAUUAUGCAUACAGGGGUGUGAUGCUUCAAUUCUUCUAGCCGGAUCGGCGAGCGGGCCCAAUGACCAGGAGGCACCAUCGAAUUUGACCUUGAGGGCUCAGGCUUUUAGAAUCAUCGAUGAUCUCAGCCGUUUCGUUCGUAUGCGCUGAUAUCGUUGCCAUUGCAGCUCGUGAUGCUCUAUUUCUGGUAAAUCUAAUAUCAUGAAUAUUUUUUUCUAAUUUAUUAAAAACAAUUUUGAAUUUUAGAUCACAUGAUUUUCUAUGAAAUAUCGGAUCGAGAUCAAAGUAGUGCUAAAUUGGAUCAAUUUGCUAUGAAGAUGUGAUGCUUCGUUGUAUUAAAACCAUUAAUGAAACAGUCAAAGAGAGACAUCAACAUCAAGACAGCGGAUUAGGCCUUCCACACCCGUUGGUGUAAAAAAAAAAAAAACAAUAAAAAAUAAUUACUAUUAUUAUAAGCAUUUUGUAGCAUUACAUUGACAAAUUCAAUAUUUUUUGAAGUCUAUAAAGUGAAUUCGAUAAGCUUUAACUAAUGUUAUUCAUUAAUAAUGAUUAUGAAUAACCCUGGAUAUUAAGAUUUCUUGCCAAUAGGUCCCCUAGUUAGCCACCGGCAACUAAAUUAAUAAUAAUCACCGAUAAUAAUGAAUAUCAUUAUUUUAUAUUAUAAGAAAAUCUAAAAAUAAUUUUAGGAACGAAGGUACCUUACAAGAAUUUAAAUAUUUCCUUUAUGUUGGACUUAAGGGUAUUAAGGUGGCUCAAGCCCCUAUACUUAGAUUGGAGCUGCGUUGAGUUUAGGUUGACUAUUACUUAGCCAACUUACACUCAAUGCAUAUAGGUCGUGUUGAACCUCUGGGUCUAGAUUGCCCAUCAACUAACCAAUUUACACUUGAUGCAUAGAGGUCGAGUUGAAUCGAGCCUUUUGAGUCUAGGUUGACCAUCACUUAAGCCAACAUGCUAACUAUGAUUCUUUUGACUAUUGCAGUCCGGUGGCCCUAACUAUAGAGUUCCUUUGGGAAGAAGAGAUGGACUCAACUUUGCAACAAGAAAAGAAACAUUGACUAACCUUCCUCCACCAUCAAGCAACACAAGUCCACUUCUUACCUUCCUUGCAACCAAGAAUUUCGACCGCACCGACGUAGUCGCGCUUUCUGGUGGCCACACCAUUGGCCUUGGCCAUUGCACUUCCUUCACUGACAGACUUUAUCCCACACAAGACCCUACAAUGGACCAG